RNAcentral lists this unclassified non-coding RNA (732 nucleotides) under Hevea brasiliensis (rubber tree). Lineage: Eukaryota; Viridiplantae; Streptophyta; Magnoliopsida; Malpighiales; Euphorbiaceae. The record is from RNAcentral.
AUCUCAUGAUCAGAUAUUCUGGUUCGGGGAUUUGAAUUAUCGAAUCAAUAUGUUGGAUGCUGAGGUGCGGAAGCUAGUCACCAGAAAACAAUGGGAUGAACUUCUCAACAACGACGAGUUAAUCAAAGAACUUCGAAAUGGACAUGUCUUUGCCGGUUGGAGGGAAGGGGCGAUUAACUUUGCACCAACAUACAAGUAUGAGAUCAAUACAGAUAGAUAUGUCGGGGAGAUUCCAAGAGACGGGGAGAAGAAGAGAUCGCCGGCUUGGUGUGACCGUAUACUGUGGUCAGGGAAAGGUAUAAAACAGCUCUUUUACAAGCGAGCCGAGUUAAGACUAUCUGAUCACAAGCCUGUAAGCUCAAUGUUCUCGGUAGACGUUGAAAUAUUCGAUCACAGAAAGCUCCAGAGAGUCCUGAAUGUUAACACCGCCGCUGUACAUCCAGAGAUCCUGCUAGAUAUUGAAGAGUAAGAGUUCAGCCUUUUCAGAUAAGUUUUAAUUUUAUCAAGAAUGACAAGUAAGUGAGUCGGUAUUAAUAACGCGAAGAUUUUAGUGUUUACAGUUAGGAAUCAGAAAUGAAGCAUAGUGUAUUCGUGUACAUAUGUACUUCAAGGUAGAGGCGAAAUCCAAGACCUAGAGUCAGUGGAUUCUGAAUGUGUUGGACUUUCAAAGAUGAUAAGACGCGAGUUCGAGAAAUCAUUUGGUGUUUUCAGUUAGGAAUCAGAAAUGAAGCA